CAGGCUUAACACAUGCAAGUCGAGGGGCAGCAUUUUAGUUUGCUUGCAAACUGAAGAUGGCGACCGGCGCACGGGUGAGUAACACGUAUCCAACCUGCCGAUAACUCCGGAAUAGCCUUUCGAAAGAAAGAUUAAUACCGGAUAGCAUACGAAUAUCGCAUGAUAUUUUUAUUAAAGAAUUUCGGUUAUCGAUGGGGAUGCGUUCCAUUAGUUUGUUGGCGGGGUAACGGCCCACCAAGACUACGAUGGAUAGGGGUUCUGAGAGGAAGGUCCCCCACAUUGGAACUGAGACACGGUCCAAACUCCUACGGGAGGCAGCAGUGAGGAAUAUUGGUCAAUGGGCGAGAGCCUGAACCAGCCAAGUAGCGUGAAGGAUGAAGGCUCUAUGGGUCGUAAACUUCUUUUAUAUGGGAAUAAAGUUUUCCACGUGUGGAAUUUUGUAUGUACCAUAUGAAUAAGGAUCGGCUAACUCCGUGCCAGCAGCCGCGGUAAUACGGAGGAUCCGAGCGUUAUCCGGAUUUAUUGGGUUUAAAGGGAGCGUAGGUGGAUUGUUAAGUCAGUUGUGAAAGUUUGCGGCUCAACCGUAAAAUUGCAGUUGAAACUGGCAGUCUUGAGUACAGUAGAGGUGGGCGGAAUUCGUGGUGUAGCGGUGAAAUGCUUAGAUAUCACGAAGAACUCCGAUUGCGAAGGCAGCUCACUAGACUGUCACUGACACUGAUGCUCGAAAGUGUGGGUAUCAAACAGGAUUAGAUACCCUGGUAGUCCACACAGUAAACGAUGAAUACUCGCUGUUUGCGAUAUACAGUAAGCGGCCAAGCGAAAGCAUUAAGUAUUCCACCUGGGGAGUACGCCGGCAACGGUGAAACUCAAAGGAAUUGACGGGGGCCCGCACAAGCGGAGGAACAUGUGGUUUAAUUCGAUGAUACGCGAGGAACCUUACCCGGGCUUAAAUUGCAACAGAAUAUAUUGGAAACAGUAUAGCCGUAAGGCUGUUGUGAAGGUGCUGCAUGGUUGUCGUCAGCUCGUGCCGUGAGGUGUCGGCUUAAGUGCCAUAACGAGCGCAACCCUUAUCUUUAGUUACUAACAGGUCAUGCUGAGGACUCUAGAGAGACUGCCGUCGUAAGAUGUGAGGAAGGUGGGGAUGACGUCAAAUCAGCACGGCCCUUACGUCCGGGGCUACACACGUGUUACAAUGGGGGGUACAGAAGGCGGCUACCUGGUGACAGGAUGCUAAUCCCAAAAACCUCUCUCAGUUCGGAUCGAAGUCUGCAACCCGACUUCGUGAAGCUGGAUUCGCUAGUAAUCGCGCAUCAGCCAUGGCGCGGUGAAUACGUUCCCGGGCCUUGUACACACCGCCCGUCAAGCCAUGAAAGCCGGGGGUACCUGAAGUACGUAACCGCAAGGAGCGUCCUAGGGUAAAACUGGUAAUUGGGGCUAAG
This 1439-nucleotide ribosomal RNA is filed under the name uncultured organism. RNAcentral's name for it is "16S ribosomal RNA". It matches the Rfam family "Bacterial small subunit ribosomal RNA". The record is from RNAcentral.